Molecule: ribosomal RNA, 301 nt
Filed under: uncultured Sulfophobococcus sp.
Lineage: Archaea; Thermoproteati; Thermoproteota; Thermoprotei; Desulfurococcales; Desulfurococcaceae
Description: bacterial SSU rRNA
Rfam family: Bacterial small subunit ribosomal RNA
Source: RNAcentral
CGUCUAAGCUCGUGCUGGCAGCCGAGGUAAUACGGAGGUUGCAGAGGUGACACGUAAUUACUGGGCGUAAAGCGCACGUGGGCGGUGAGAUAAUUUAGAUGUGAAAGCCCCGUGCUCAACCUUGGAAUUGCAAUUAAAACUGUCCAGCUAGAGUCUUGUAGAGGGGGGUAGAAUUCCAGGUGUAGCGGUGAAAUGCGUAGAGAUCUGGAGGAAUACCGGUGGCGAAGGCGGCCCCCUGGACAAAGACUGACGCUCAGGUGCGAAAGCGUGGGGAGCAAACAGGAUUAGAUACCCUGGUAGC